UGGAGGAACACAAUCGUGAUGCAAGUAAGAUAAGCCCUCUGCUGCAUCUAAAGCUAUCUUGUACCUUGUUGGCCAAUCCAACGGGCCUCCCUUGCUACUAUGCAACAAGUCACCCAAGCUCCCAUUUGGCAUAUACUCGUAAACCAGAAGCUUGCAGUCCCCAUUGUUGCAGCAACACCACAAUCUCACAAUAUUCUUGUGCCUGAUCUUGCCCAAAGUUUCGACCUCCACUUCGAAUUCAUCUUUGUCGUAGUUGGCACUAGCAUCCUCUUUCCUGCUCCCUCCACUUAGUUUCUUUACCGCCACUGUCUCACCAUUACUAAGCACGACCUUGUAUACUUUCCCAGAAGCUCCAGUUCCAAUCACAUUAUCUUCCUUAAGGGAAUCAGCAAUCUCAAAUUCACUGAAUCCAAGCUUAUGGAAAGACCUCCACUUGGAUAUUGUAAUCCCUUUCUUACCUUUGUUGAAAUUCCGGUACUUGAAGUAGAACCAAACAACGCCAACAACAAAAACUAAACCAGCAAGUAUAAAAAUCGAUCUGAGAAGCCACAAGAAGCUCAUCUUCUUAGACUCACCCAUCUCAGGACAAAGGCCCUCCAAGUCACCACACAAUCCUGGAUUUCCCACGAAGCUAUUCUUAUAAAUCUCCUUUGCAAAAAGAGGAGGGAGCUCUCCAGAAAGCAUAUUAUUUGACAAGUUCAACAAAUUGAGCUUCAGUGUUUGCAAUUCAAGUGGGAUUUUCCCAGAAAAGUGAUUCCCAGAAAGAUCAAGGUAAUUAAGCACUGGCAAGUUCCCAAUUUCAUCAGGGAUGGGACCAGAUAGCUUAUUGUUUGCCAAAUUAAGCUCAUUUAAACUCUUCCAACCUCGAAUUCCCGCGGGGAACCCACCAGACAAUUCAUUACCAUUAAGGACAAGCCUAUUUAACACACUCAAAUUAACCAAGCUUCCAGGAAUUGGACCCGCAAACAUAUUAUUACUUGCAGAAAAUUCAAUCAAAUUGCCAAGAAAACCAAUCUCCAUAGGUAUGUGCCCAGAAAACUUGUUGUCUGAAAUGAGCAAAACAGAGAGAUUAUAAGCGCCAGAUAUUCUUGCGGAAACUUGCCCAGAUAAUGAGUUCCCCACAAGCUCAACCAAAUACACUCUUGGAAGCCCCCAGAACUCUUCUGGAACAGUCCCAGAAAGCCGGUUGUUCCUUAACCGAGCACGGCCUAAACUGCGGCAUUUUCCCAGACUUUCUGGGAUUUUCCCGGAAAAUGAAUUGUAUAUCAAAAUGAGGUCUUCUAAUACCCCCUUUGCACACAAAUUGUCCGGUAUUUCACCAGAAAAUCCAUUGUAUGACACAUCAAGGGACCUCAACGGCGAUUUCUGGCCGAGUUCGCUCGGUAAUUGACCAUUUAGCUUGUUAUUGAACAAUUUGAGCUCGUAUAAGUUGGGAGACUUGGCUAUACUCUCCGGUAAUAUCCCUUCGAGUCUGUUCUCGUACAAAUUCAGUGACUCAAGCUCCAACUCGCACAGCUCAUUUGGAAUCGUCCCGGUUAACUGAUUCAUGGAGGCAUCGAAUCUUCUCAGCUUCGUCAAGUUUGCAAAUCCCACUGGUAGCGUGCCAGACAAAGAGUUGUUGAAUAGCUCAAUUUGGACAAUAUUCUUCAACUCGGCGAGUGAACUCGGGAUUGGCCCGGUCAGUCUGUUCUGAGACAAAUCCAAGUUUUCCAACCGAGUUAAACGGCUCAGACUUGUAGGAAUGGGACCAAUAAGCUUACAGUCAGAAAGCCAGAGCUCUUUAAGAUUCGUUAAGUUGGCGAGUUGAAUCGGAAAUGGACUCGGGGUGAAAGGGUUAUAAGCGAUAUAGAGAAAUUCAAGAGUCGAAAUGUUACCGAGCUGACUGGGUAUAGUUCCGUUAAGGAAAUUGCCGGCAAGCAAGAGCGUCUCAAGCCGCCGAAACUCCCCAAAUUUCACCGGUAUCUCACCGGUUAAAUUGUUUCCCGCCAAACUCAGGUACCGGAGAUUUGGCAAGUACGCGAGAGAUUCCGGGAUGGGACCCACUAAAAGAUUCUGGCCCAAGUCCAAGUACUCGAGAUUCCUACACGGGGAGAAAUCAACGGGCAGGGACGAGUUGAUAGAAUUGUUGUUGAGAGAGAUGAAGGUAAGAGAAGGAAGGCGGCAAAGAAAGGUAGGGAAGGGACCGGAGAGGAAAGAGUUGGAAAGGUCAACCGAGUGGACUCGUUGAGUUACAGAGUCGCAAGUGAUGCCGUACCAGUUGCAUGGAGUUUCGUCUCGUUGGUUCCAGUUAGAGAGGGCGUGAGUUGGAUCGGAGAGGCCGAGUUUGACUCGCUCGAGGUAGAGACCUUCUUGGUUGAGGGAAAGAGAAGGGAAGGGGAAGGAAAGGAAGAGAAGGGAAAGAAAGAGUAGCAUUUUUAAAGCAAAAGAGUAAGGGAGAGGGAAAACGUGUUUGAGUUUUGGUUUGGUCUGUUUCCGUUUAUGUUUCAAAUUCAGACAGUGAACUGAACAGAAGAGGAGAUGAGAUUUUGAAGCCUGCCGUGGGAGUUAUUUUGCACGUGGGACCUACUUUGGAUGACAAAUGUGGGGUCUACUAGGGACAUUUGGCAA
Molecule: unclassified non-coding RNA, 2607 nt
Filed under: Hevea brasiliensis (rubber tree)
Lineage: Eukaryota; Viridiplantae; Streptophyta; Magnoliopsida; Malpighiales; Euphorbiaceae
Source: RNAcentral